This is a long non-coding RNA of Lolium perenne, 2468 nucleotides long. RefSeq lists it as uncharacterized. The record is from RefSeq and is a predicted model, not a curated record. Lineage: Eukaryota; Viridiplantae; Streptophyta; Magnoliopsida; Poales; Poaceae.
CUCAUGUUGGGCCUUUCUGGAAAACUCGAUGGAGGCUACACCGUCCGACAACCAGAGAAGGGGCGGAGGGGAAGACCAUCACGCCAACCGACGGGACGGUGAUGGAGGUGGGCACCGGCAGGGUGGAGGCCGCGCCGUCCACCAGCGGAAGGGAGGCGGGCGGACAUGGCGGAGACCGUGGCAUCCACCGACGGGGAUCAAGGCGGAUCCCUUGGAGGGACAGAAGCCGCGGCGGCGCCUCACCUUCAUCUGAGAGUUCCAGACUCUUUAGAUGGCUUGGUGAUCUCUCUACCACCGCCACACAACCCUCGUGGACGCCUCUGGUUCCAGGGAACCCUUCAACUACAUGGUUUUCAUUCCCGUCAGAUGGUGAGAUUGUAUCGUCUCUAUCUGUUUAUGUUAUGAGCUAGCAGUCUGCACAUCUUAUUGGUUUUUUCAGUGGGUCGUGUCCUAUUGUUUUAUUCUUAGGUCUUCAUAUGUCUGCACAGCUGGGAUUACUCAUUUGUGAACCGACUCAUUUUUUGUCAAACCCCCUUAAUUCAGUGUUUACAACCGUCUUAAGCAGAGAUCAGACAGAGGACAUCAAGAAAAAAUGUUGAUUAUUCGGUUGAAACAUAUGUUGCAAAGGCUGAGGCGAUUACUGCUACUUUAACUUUUGUAAGGCCCAGGCAAGUUAAUGUGAGAUGGGGCAUUCAGCUAACAGAGAGCAGUCUCCAGAUGCCAUGCCGCCGAACCUGAAGGUGGUGCACUGUAAAUGAGAUUGCAGAAGUGCUGAGGGGAUAUUUUUAAGUGUACCAAGUGUCGUGAAGCUUAAAUAUCCGAUUAUGAUAUUUGGUGAUCUGAACUGUUAAUUUGGUGGCCUAAUGGGCAAAGAAAUAUUUGACAAGUAUGGUUCUCCCUCAGCAGUCUCCCGUGAGUAUCUUUUUUAUCUUCGUAGUGAUGACUAUGAUUCAGUUUUUCCUCUCUUUCCUCUUAUGAGGAUUUUGUAAUAUCUGCCGGAUACACAAACUGCAAGAAUUAGUUCUUCACUAAGGACUGCUAAUUAUUCUUUUGACAUGUUGAUCACAUCAGUUUUAUAUUCAGCACGCACUAUGGCUUUUAUUAUCUUUUUCCGUGCAUGAGUAUAUUUGAUUGUUCUUUUCUUUUAUAAAUCAUUCAAGAUGCUUUUCAUUUGAAGACGGGCCACCAUCAGGAGCGACUAGGUGUAUCCUGAAUAGCAGAUUAUUUCAUCUCUUCUAGCGUAACCCAUUUUUUUAAAUCUUUAGCAUAAACAAAUUUUGUGCUGCAUAAGAAUAAUCCAACUCCAUUUGCCCCUAGCGGCUUGAUAUGUGCGUUAAGCUUCUUUGAAUCUCUAAUUAUUCUCCUGACCUCAUAUGUAUCUUCCUAACAUUUCAAUUACAUUGACCGUGGUCACCAUAAUUUUGGAGACUAUUACUCUUCUCCUACCACCUGAAGUUAGUAAAUAUUAAGCCGUGAGCAUAUUAUUUGGUCUUUCUUUAUUUUAAAGAGUAAGCCAAACUUGAGUACGAUUCGCGUAAUUUUCUUUUACCUGUUACAAUAUAUUAUUUCCUGAAUGUUUCGAUUGCUAUGGCGAGAUUUCUACAACUACAAAAUCAGAUUAAUUGUUUCAUUUUUACUAUAAUGCUCUUUCUCUGGAAUCAUGUAAAUAUUAGAGUUUAUCUUUCUUUUCUUGCAUUUCGUUCUUACAGUUCACUUGCUUUUUAACUACUACUUCAAACCUUAAUUUCUAAUUGCCUCUUCCCUUACCGUACAGAUUAGAGAAGCACUAUGUGCUAUAGGUUUUGGUGGAAGAGAAGGAAUCAUGUGCAUCAAUGGGCAUGCCUAUUGGUUUUCUAUAGGGCCGCAUGCAUCGAUUGAUGCAGAGGCUGAGGCUUUUUCCCCCUUAUCGAAAAAAAUUUGGUUUUCUAUAGGUGAAAAACUGGUCCGUCUAAAGAGUUUAACUGUUGAAAAUGACAAGAAGCUGUUCAACAGUGCUAGGCCAGCACAGCCAUCAAGCAGUAACACAGAAAAAGCUCCAAUGUCUCAACCUGACGAUGCUCCAAAUACAGUAGAGGACAACAGAACUUCAGGCGCCACAUGAGCAAAGACAUCAUAGAAAAGCCUGACUCAGAUGGAGAUGAGCUCUGUAUCCGAAAAGAAGAGGAAGGCAUCAGCUUCCGCAUCAGCCAAGAAACAAGUCAGGAAAAUGCUCUUCCCACAGAAAUAAGGAUCCUACUACUUGCCGGUAAGCAUGAAAUUUAAAUGGUGGUUAGGUUUUUAAACGGUUCAGACGAACACGGAGGAGAGAAGAUCGGCUAAGUGUAAAUUUCGUCGGCUAGGACGGAUGUUUGUAAUAUUAUGGGACUACCAGCUACUCUAGACUGCUUGUGUCUUUGAUGUGUAAUAUUUGGUACCUCUACUACCCAGCUAUGUCCGAAGACCUACUACCGUGUAUAUUUGCAUGCUUC